Molecule: long non-coding RNA, 327 nt
Filed under: Androctonus crassicauda
Lineage: Eukaryota; Metazoa; Arthropoda; Arachnida; Scorpiones; Buthidae
Source: RNAcentral
GGCGGGCAUCUCCUCCCAGCCAGGCAACUCCCCAAGCGGCACAGUGGUGUGAAGCCGUGGAUGUCGGAGUCCCCCCACACCACACCCCCAGCCUCCUAGUGUAACCCUUCCCGCUGAACUCACAGAUCAACGUAUUAACGAGACUAACCAUGACAGAUGGACUGCUCCGGUCCCUCGCCCUGCACAGAUUUGGGGGUAGAUGGUCCCUCAGACUGGCCCAGACACUGGGGGGAUGUAGUGGCCUGUGUGGCCUCCACCUCGUCCCCACCCACUGCCAAGUACAAUGACCCCUUCCUCCGAGACAUCAGUGUUAGCCUCCCUGUCCCC